CCUACGGGAGGCAGCAGUGGGGGAUAUUGCACAAUGGGGGGAACCCUGAUGCAGCGACGCCGCGUGGGCGAUGGAGUACUCCGGUAUGUAAAGCCCUAUCAGCAGGGAAGAAAAUGACGGUACCUGACUAAGAAGCCCCGGCUAAAUACGUGCCAGCAGCCGCGGUAAUACGUAUGGGGCAAGCGUUAUCCGGAUUUACUGGGUGUAAAGGGAGCGUAGGCGGCCUGGCAAGCCUGAUGUGAAAUACCGGGGCCCAACCCCGGGGCUGCAUUGGGAACUGCCAGGCUGGAGUGCCGGAGAGGCAGGCGGAAUUCCUAGUGUAGCGGUGAAAUGCGUAGAUAUUAGGAGGAACACCAGUGGCGAAGGCGGCCUGCUGGACGGUGACUGACGCUGAGGCUCGAAAGCGUGGGGAGCAAACAGGAUUAGAUACCCCAGUAGU
Molecule: ribosomal RNA, 439 nt
Filed under: uncultured bacterium
Lineage: Bacteria
Description: bacterial SSU rRNA
Rfam family: Bacterial small subunit ribosomal RNA
Source: RNAcentral